GACGAACGCUGGCGGCGUGCUUAACACAUGCAAGUCGAACGGAAAGGCCUGCUUUCCCUUGUGGAUUGCGGGUACUCGAGUGGCGAACGGGUGAGUAACACGUGAGUGAUCUGCCCCCAACUUGGGUAUAAGCCUGGGAAACUGGGUCUAAUUCCCGAUAGGACUGCAGGGUGGUGCCUGUGGUGGAAAACGAUUUUCUAGUGGUUGGGGAUGAGCUCGCGGCCUAUCAGCUUGUUGGUGGGGUAAUGGCCUACCAAGGCGGCGACGGGUAGCCGGCCUGAGAGGGUGGACGGCCCCAUUUGGCCUGAGAUCCGGCCCCGACUCCUACGGGAGGCAGCCGUGGGGAAUAUUGCACAAUGGGCGGAAGCCUGAUGCAGCGACGCCGCGUGGGGGAUGACGGCCUUCGGGUUGUAAACUCCUUUCGACCGCGAGGAAGCCACCUGGUUGGAAGGGUGGUGACGGUAGUGGUAGAAGAAGCACCGGCUAACUACGUG
RNAcentral lists this ribosomal RNA (494 nucleotides) under uncultured bacterium. RNAcentral's name for it is "partial 16S ribosomal RNA". It matches the Rfam family "Bacterial small subunit ribosomal RNA", at positions 28 to 507 of the family's 1533-position model. The record is from RNAcentral.